UCAAUGUAGGACGCAAUCUGAGCUUCGGUGGGAUGCAUCCUUUUUAAAAAGUUGUUUAUUUUCCUGCAUGGGAGGAAAGCUUAUGCUUAUCUUCUCAUACUGUUAAAUAUAUUUGGUGUUUGAAUAGAUAUGAAAUGGGAUACUUACUUUUUUACCAAAGGCUGGACUGCUUUUAGAAUGGCAUCAACAAUGUUAACGAGGACUGAGUUACCUGAAGAUGGUAAAGACAAACAUUGAAUGGCAAAGCACUUAUAAAGCCAUCGACGAAGUCAGACUGUAAGCCUUCAGUAUGGUCCAUGUCUGAGAUUGAGAUAUCACUGGAGUGUCCUAAAGGACUGACUAAUUUUGAUCUAUUAACAAAGACAUCUAAACUUUCAGCAAGACUCUCCUGUCCAUCUGAAACCACAUCCUGUUCAUCAGAGGUCUGAUCUUCCAUAUCUGUUUCUCUAUUUCUGAAGGUUUCAGUCUCUUCACGAGGAUUACAAAACCUAAUGUUUGUAGCUAUUGGCCCUUCUACAAUGCCCUCCUUUGGCUCUUCAUCUGUGUCGAUGCAGGCUGGCAGUGCUGUUGGUCCACCUCCUGCUUCAUCGAGCUUAUCAUCUCCUCUGGGGUUAUGGGACUGGGAAAAAAACAUAAUAUCACCAGAGGGUGGCAGUAUCCUCAAUAAUUGACCUUGUGCUGAAGCUAAAG
Molecule: long non-coding RNA, 690 nt
Organism: Cyprinus carpio carpio
Lineage: Eukaryota; Metazoa; Chordata; Actinopteri; Cypriniformes; Cyprinidae
Source: Ensembl